This 468-nucleotide ribosomal RNA is filed under the name uncultured bacterium. RNAcentral's name for it is "partial 16S ribosomal RNA". It matches the Rfam family "Bacterial small subunit ribosomal RNA", at positions 28 to 507 of the family's 1533-position model. The record is from RNAcentral.
GACGAACGCUGGCGGCGUGCUUAACACAUGCAAGUCGAACGGAAAGGCCCUGCUUUUGUGGGGUGCUCGAGUGGCGAACGGGUGAGUAACACGUGAGUAACCUGCCCUUGACUUUGGGAUAACUUCAGGAAACUGGGGCUAAUACCGGAUAGGAGCUCCUGCUGCAUGGUGGGGGUUGGAAAGUUUCGGCGGUUGGGGAUGGACUCGCGGCUUAUCAGCUUGUUGGUGGGGUAGUGGCUUACCAAGGCUUUGACGGGUAGCCGGCCUGAGAGGGUGACCGGCCACAUUGGGACUGCGAUACGGCCCAGACUCCUACGGGAGGCAGCAGUGGGGAAUAUUGCACAAUGGGCGGAAGCCUGAUGCAGCAACGCCGCGUGCGGGAUGCCGGCCUUCGGGUUGUAGACCGCUUUCGCCUGUGACGAAGCGUGAGUGACGGUAAUGGCUAAUGAAGCACCGGCUAACUACGUG